Lolium perenne is the source of this 833-nucleotide non-coding RNA. The record is from RefSeq and is a predicted model, not a curated record. NCBI's taxonomy places the organism in Eukaryota, Viridiplantae, Streptophyta, Magnoliopsida, Poales, Poaceae.
AAAAACAAGAAUGAUAGAAUAGUGCAUCUCCUCGAGUCUGUGGACUUCUUUUUGUGAUCUGUAGCAUCAUUCUUCAUGUUUUUCUUGUUUCUGCAGUCCAUGGACUUUUUUUUGUGUGAUCUUACCAUAUAUAUACUACUUAGUUGUGUCCAUCGGGGUCUGAAUUUAGCUAUGUUGAUUUUUUUUCUUUCCUCUUUUCAGAAUAUGGGGAUAGUGAUCAUAUUUUGGCUCCCAGGAAACUAUAUUUGGCAGUUAUAUUUGAUUUCUCUGAUCAUUUCCUCAAGGUCUUCAGGUUUUUAUUGGUUGUCAGUUUGUUAUGUUGAAGCAGGCCAUUUGGGUUUCAGCCUAUCAUAUUGUGUGAAUCCAAGCACCACCAAGGCAGUAUGCUACACACCACGAAUGUGCUUGUGGAAGAUUCAGUAAUUGCAGAAAAACUAAGGAGAUGGUGUGGCAAGGCAGGGGACUGGGGAGUGCAUGAUGCUAAUCAAUUCCAGUAUGUACGCCACAGUGCCUCUUCCCUUCUUUUCUGGUAUAUCAAUCCAUUUCGCAUAUAUGCAGCCACCCACUGAAAUAGCAUAUUGUUAUUUCAAUCCAUACAUGAAGAUCUAUUGGAGGUGUGCAGCAAGGACACACCACAUAAUUUUUGCUGGUCUUACAAAAGGUAUCUAUGAAAAAGUAACCAAUUUGUGAUGCAAACAACCAUUCUAGGCCUUGAACAACUUCUCUUGAGUUGUUCCAUUUCUUUAAAUCUUCUCUGCCCUAGGUUGGCCUCAAACUACCUCAUUCAGCCUAUUCGAAGAUCUUAUUUACUUUUACCAACUUGCUGAAACUGU